RNAcentral lists this ribosomal RNA (427 nucleotides) under uncultured bacterium. RNAcentral describes it as "bacterial SSU rRNA". It matches the Rfam family "Bacterial small subunit ribosomal RNA", at positions 355 to 774 of the family's 1533-position model. The record is from RNAcentral.
UGGGGAAUUUUGGACAAUGGGUGAAAGCCUGAUCCAGCCAUGCCGCGUGAGUGAAGAAGGCCUUCGGGUUGUAAAGCUCUUUUAGUCGGAAAGAAAGAGUUGCAAUGAAUAAUUGUGAUUUAUGACGGUACCGACAGAAAAAGCACCGGCUAACUACGUGCCAGCAGCCGCGGUAAUACGUAGGGUGCGAGCGUUAAUCGGAAUUACUGGGCGUAAAGGGUGCGCAGGCGGUCUUGCAAGUCAGAUGUGAAAGCCCCGGGCUUAACCUGGGAAUUGCGUUUGAAACUACAAGACUAGAGUGCAGCAGAGNGGAGUGGAAUUCCAUGUGUAGCAGUGAAAUGCGUAGAGACGUGGAAGAACACCGAUGGCGAAGGCAGCUCCCUGGGUUGACACUGACGCUCAUGCACGAAAGCGUGGGGAGCAAACA